RNAcentral lists this ribosomal RNA (229 nucleotides) under uncultured bacterium. Its description in RNAcentral is "partial 16S ribosomal RNA". It matches the Rfam family "Bacterial small subunit ribosomal RNA", at positions 568 to 796 of the family's 1533-position model. The record is from RNAcentral.
UACGUAGGCGGAAAAUUAAGUCAGUGGUGAAAUCCCACAGCUUAACUGUAGAACUGUCAUUGAUACUGGUUUUCUUGAAUUUAGUUGAGGUAGGCGGAAUGUGUAAUGUAGCGGUGAAAUGCUUAGAUAUUACACAGAACACCGAUUGCGAAGGCAGCUUACUAAACUAUGAUUGACGCUGAGGUACGAAAGCGUGGGGAGCGAACAGGAUUAGAUACCCUGGUAGUCC